Molecule: ribosomal RNA, 800 nt
Filed under: Sarcocystis tenella
Lineage: Eukaryota; Apicomplexa; Conoidasida; Eucoccidiorida; Sarcocystidae
Description: SSU rRNA
Rfam family: Eukaryotic small subunit ribosomal RNA
Source: RNAcentral
AUAGAUCAUUCAAGUUUCUGACCUAUCAGCUUUCGACGGUAGUGUAUUGGACUACCGUGGCAGUGACGGGUAACGGGGAAUUAGGGUUCGAUUCCGGAGAGGGAGCCUGAGAAACGGCUACCACAUCUAAGGAAGGCAGCAGGCGCGCAAAUUACCCAAUCCUGACUCAGGGAGGUAGUGACAAGAAAUAACAACACUGGAACUUUUAUUUCUAGUGAUUGGAAUGAUGGGAAUUUAAACCCCUUUCAGAGUAACAAUUGGAGGGCAAGUCUGGUGCCAGCAGCCGCGGUAAUUCCAGCUCCAAUAGCGUAUAUUAAAGUUGUUGCAGUUAAAAAGCUCGUAGUUGGAUGUCUGCUGAAAGCAAUCAGUCGCCCUAUUUGUAGGGUGUGCACUUGAUGAAUCUGGCAUUUUGUCCAAUGAGNCNGACUCGGGCAAGCNUCUGUUCGAUAAGGAUACUGUCUUUGAGAAAUUAGAGUGUUUGACGAGGCUAAUGCCUUGAUCUCGAGCAUGGAAUAACAAUAUAGGAUUCGGUUCUACUUUGUUGGUUUCUAGGCUGAAAUAAUGAUUAAUAGGACAGUUGGGGGCAUUCGUAUUUAACUGUCAGAGGUGAAAUUCUUAGAUUUGUUAAAGACGAACUACUGCGAAAGCAUUUGCCAAAGAUGUUUUCAUUAAUCAAGAACGAAAGUUAGGGGCUCGAAGACGAUCAGAUACCGUCCUAGUCUUAACCAUAAACUAUGCCGACUAGAGAUAGGAAAAUGUCAUUUUGCUGACUUCUCCUGCACCUUAUGAGAAAUCAAAGU